ACUUAAAUAGCUUAAUUUAAAGCGUAAUAGUGAAGUUAUUAAAAUAGUCAUUGACUUUUAAGUG
RNAcentral lists this transfer RNA (64 nucleotides) under Cheirotonus gestroi. RNAcentral's name for it is "tRNA-Phe". The record is from RNAcentral. RNAcentral also lists the same sequence under 1 other name. Lineage: Eukaryota; Metazoa; Arthropoda; Insecta; Coleoptera; Scarabaeidae.